CAGGCCUAACACAUGCAAGUCGAACGAUGCUUUCGGGCAUAGUGGCGCACGGGUGCGUAACGCGUGGGAAUCUGCCCUGGGGUACGGAAUAACUCAGAGAAAUUUGAGCUAAUACCGUAUGAUGACGUAAGUCCAAAGAUUUAUCGCCCUGGGAUGAGCCCGCGUCGGAUUAGCUAGUUGGUGGGGUAAAGGCCUACCAAGGCGACGAUCCGUAGCUGGUCUGAGAGGAUGAUCAGCCACACUGGGACUGAGACACGGCCCAGACUCCUACGGGAGGCAGCAGUGGGGAAUAUUGGACAAUGGGCGCAAGCCUGAUCCAGCAAUGCCGCGUGAGUGAUGAAGGCCUUAGGGUUGUAAAGCUCUUUUACCCGGGAAGAUAAUGACUGUACCGGGAGAAUAAGCCCCGGCUAACUCCGUGCCAGCAGCCGCGGUAAU
RNAcentral lists this ribosomal RNA (435 nucleotides) under uncultured bacterium. RNAcentral's name for it is "bacterial SSU rRNA". It matches the Rfam family "Bacterial small subunit ribosomal RNA", at positions 43 to 524 of the family's 1533-position model. The record is from RNAcentral.